RNAcentral lists this ribosomal RNA (836 nucleotides) under Chlamydodon triquetrus. RNAcentral's name for it is "partial 28S ribosomal RNA". It matches the Rfam family "Eukaryotic large subunit ribosomal RNA", at positions 397 to 1250 of the family's 3401-position model. Lineage: Eukaryota; Ciliophora; Phyllopharyngea; Chlamydodontida; Chlamydodontidae. The record is from RNAcentral.
ACUUGAAACCGUUGAGAAGGAAGCAAUGGGGGCUGGCCAAGGCGGAUGAUGUCUGACGCAUGCGAAGGUUGAGGGGUUCGUCAAAGGCCCGGAUGCUGGAGCUGAGGAAAGAUCUCUCGUCGCUGAAGGUAGGAUGGGGUCCGGCUGCGUCAGAAGCUUCUUAUCUUUGGAUACGGAGUGAGGCGUGGCGGGGCCUGAGGGGCUUAUGCGAUCCUGCCGUAACGGUCUCCAUCGACCCGUCUUGAAACACGGACCAAGGAGUCUACCACUUGUGCGAGUUUGCGAGUGUAAAACUCAUAGGCGCAAUGAAAGUAAGGUUAGGAUGCCAAGGGGUAACCCGGCAGCAUCAGCCGUCUACCGACUGUUGUUGGUGGUAUGAGCAAGAGCACAAUUGUUAGGACCCGAAAGAUGGUGAACUAUGCUUGAGUAGACUGAAGCCAUGGGAAACUCUGGUGGAAGGUCGUAGCGGUACUGACGUGCAAAUCGUUCGUGGAACUUGAGUAUAGGGGCGAAAGACUAAUCGAACCAUCUAGUAGCUGGUUCCCUCUGAAGUUUCUCUCAGGAUAGCUGGAACAUUGAUGCAGUUUUAUUAGGUAAAGCGAAUGAUUAGGGGUAUCGGGGAAAAUAUUUUCUCGACCCAUUCUCAAACUUUAAAUUGGUAAGCACCCCAGCGUUUACUUAACUGAACAUGGGGGUUGAAUGCGUGUUCUUAGUGGGCCAUUUUUGGUAAGCAGAACUGGCGAUGAGGGAUGAACCUAACGUUGAGGUAAGGCGCCAAAAUCCGCAAUAAUUUGACACCAUAAAAGGUGUUGAUUCAUAAAGACAGCAGGACGGUG